Long non-coding RNA from Gorilla gorilla gorilla (western lowland gorilla), 452 nucleotides. RefSeq lists it as uncharacterized. The record is from RefSeq and is a predicted model, not a curated record. Lineage: Eukaryota; Metazoa; Chordata; Mammalia; Primates; Hominidae. The transcript is spliced from 3 exons.
CCUCGGUCAAGCCAAACCUAGAAGCCAGAGGGCAAGGGAGUCCAUAGUACCAUCUGCAUGGGUCAGCUUCCUAGGCAGAGAGUAAAGGAAGAUGGAGAGUGGAGCUGGAGGGGCAAGCAGAAAAGAUCUGGAACAAACAAUGUGCUCAGAAAAGAAAGGACAAGAGGAUCCCACAUGGACUUGCAGAUAUAAUACAGAAGCUUCCAACCAGAAUGGCAUGGGCUCCCUAUAAAGAGUCAAGAGGCCUGGACCCUUGACCCUGCUGUGCCACACAGAAGCUGGACACCUGAAGAGUGACGCCAGGCAAGCCAUUUCAUUUUACCUCUGCAUUCAGGGACAUCGUGUUGGUAGCUUGAAGACAGCCAUGCUGGGAAUAGUUACACCAUGGGAACUGCCAAACAGUACACAACAGCCUAAAAUGCCAACAUAAAGCCUUCCAACUGGGACAGGAG